This 77-nucleotide transfer RNA is filed under the name Massilia psychrophila. RNAcentral describes it as "tRNA-Arg". It matches the Rfam family "tRNA". Rfam says of the family: Transfer RNA (tRNA) molecules are approximately 80 nucleotides in length. Their secondary structure includes four short double-helical elements and three loops (D, anti-codon, and T loops). Lineage: Bacteria; Pseudomonadati; Pseudomonadota; Betaproteobacteria; Burkholderiales; Oxalobacteraceae. The record is from RNAcentral.
CUGCCCAUAGCUCAGUUGGAUAGAGCAUCAGCCUUCUAAGCUGAGGGUCACAGGUUCGAUCCCUGUUGGGCAGACCA